ACGCCGGCCUGACGAGGUCCGAUGCCUCCUCUGUGCUGGAACUGCAGCGUCCAAGCCCGUCGGUUGCAUUACCCUCGCCAUUCCGAGACUUGAGGUGGUGAUAACUCAACUCCCCGGGUGUCGGGAUUUUCCUGACGCAUGCCGAUGGUGAUUGGAUGUUACCGUGACAGCCACCACCGUCAGUCAGUUUGUUCGUCCUUUCCACGAGUUAGAUCGUAGCAAGGACCCCAACGGCCGACGGUGACAGGUCCACCCAGAAAUGCGCACACAAAAUUUCAGUAACAAUUUGCUUCUCAAACGGAAACCGGAGGUAACCCAGAUACACGGCAAUCCUAUCUUAUACUACAAAAAUGAAACUUAUCCAUUGUCGCUGAUAUUAGGACUGAAGGUUCUUACAACGGUUUACAACUCGCACGCAAAGUCUUAGCCACAAUUCACAAUUUUGCCGCAACUUCAUACCUGCACCAGCUUCUUCUUCUGGUGAGCGUCGAUGUUGGAGGUCCUUUCUUUCUGCUAGACGCCGCUCGCAAUCCUGGAGCUUAGCCGCCGCUGUGGAGACAGCCGCAUCAAAC
Molecule: long non-coding RNA, 572 nt
Organism: Pseudomyrmex gracilis
Lineage: Eukaryota; Metazoa; Arthropoda; Insecta; Hymenoptera; Formicidae
Exons: 3
Source: RefSeq, a predicted model, not a curated record